Non-coding RNA from Notechis scutatus (mainland tiger snake), 172 nucleotides. The record is from RefSeq and is a predicted model, not a curated record. Lineage: Eukaryota; Metazoa; Chordata; Lepidosauria; Squamata; Elapidae.
AGCUAUUUAUUGAAUUUCAAAAGAACAAGUAAAAGAAACAAUGAUAGUAUGGUCUAAAAUUUUUGGAUAUGCUAUAGAAUUAGAUAAAUGGCAAAAACUCUGGGAAAGAAAUUAUAAAUUGAUGAUGUCAACAGCCUAUAAAGAAAAUCCUUACAAAAUGCAUCUGCCAACA